RNAcentral lists this long non-coding RNA (1998 nucleotides) under Lactuca sativa (garden lettuce). RNAcentral's name for it is "long non-coding RNA (LSAT_LNC006685)". Lineage: Eukaryota; Viridiplantae; Streptophyta; Magnoliopsida; Asterales; Asteraceae. The record is from RNAcentral.
GUAACGACCCAAAAAUCAAGGGUAAAAUUUUUAUUUUUAUUAUAGUAAAAACACAGAUAUCUUCUAAAUCCAAACAUUCCAGAAACAUGAUUAAUUAAAAUAUUUAUCAUAGUUCGUCCCAAAUUCAUAAGUUGCGGCACACGGGUGUGUGUGCACUGCGAUCAAGUCGGACCCUUCAUUUCCAAACCAAUGAUACCUGAAACAAUAAACAAAACUGUAAGCACGAAGUUUAGUGAGUUCCCCAGAGCAUACCCCCCACAAUCCACAUAACCACAUAAUCCAUAUUAGCUAUAACAGCUACAUAAACCAUAUCAAUCACAUAAGCCAUACCAAUCACGUAAGCCAUAUCAAUCAUGAUAAUUACACAUACCAUAUUAGCUAUAAAAGCUACACAAACCACAUAAGCCAUGCAUAUAACAUAUAGGGAUGCUGUGGGCUCCCCCAGGGUCUUACUCCAGGAUGCCAUGGGCUUCCCACAUGGUCUUACACCUAAGUGUCAUGGGCUCCCCCAUGGUCUUUAAUAGGAAAGCCAUGGGCUCUCCACAUGGUCUUACAUCCAAGUGUUAUGGGCUCCCAACAUGGUCUUCAAUAGGAAAGCCAUGGCUCCCCACAUGGUCUUCCAUACAAGUAUAACACAUAUACAACUAUCAUACCUCUUAGCACAUAACUGGAUAACAUGCCACAUAACACUAUAUCAACUAGUGUACUAUAUAUCACAAAAUCGGCCGGCCUUGGUGCCUUAGACCCAUUAGUAUGGUGAGGAGACUCACCUUGCACCGCCGAAGUCCCGCGGAUAAAUCCCUGACUGCUGGCUGGCCGAUCCUCGUACUGUGAAUCAUCAAGACAAAACCCAAUUAACCAUUUGGGUUUCAAUACAUAACCAUAAAUCUACACUUAGAGUAAAUGGACCAUUUUACCGCUAACCCAGCUUGGUUUAAAACCAAGGCCCAAACUCACACUUUGAAGGCCCAAAUGCCCAAUAAUCAACCAAGGCCCAAUAUAUGGCCCAAUUUUCCAAAUUGGGCCCAAACCUCUACAUGGACUUAUCUUAAGGCCCAAUCAUUUAUUACAUAUUUCCAAAAUUAGGGUUUUCUAAACCCUAAUUAGGAUUUUUAACUCAAUCGUGUGCCCAUUAGACCAUUAGUUAGGUUUUUAGAUCCAUUUGUGUUACAUAAGUUGGGCACCACCCACUACCACCUCGGGUAGUGGUGGUUAUGGUACGCGGCGACAGCCACCACCUCGUGGUGGUGGUGGUGGUUGUGUUUUUAGGUCAAACAAUACCAAAAGUACUCCAAAUAAUAGUCCAAACGCACCCAAAUGCACACCACCACAGGAGAUGGUGGCUAAUGGUGGCAGAAUGGCGACAGUGGGUGACAGUCACCACCUCACGAUGGAGGUGGAGGGCCUUUCUUGGUUUCCAGCCGAGCAAACCCACAAAUACACUCACAAAUACAAUCUGAACACGUAAACACAUCCAACUUAGCCACAUUGGGUGGCAGAAGACGACCAGAAGCAUAGGAACGACGACCUAAGGCCACCGGUGACCACAGCCGACGUUCAUGACGUCGUAUUCACAGCAAAGAACAAAAGAGAGAGGAAGUAGAUUUGCGGUUGGACUUACCGAGCGCUUCCGGUGGCUCCCGACUCACGCAGGACGAACACAACAUGCCCCACAUUCCUCUGCGGUUCUUUUAUUGCCCAUGGCGUCUCCGGCAGUCGAGGUUGUUGCGGCGACGAUCAUCGGCGAGAUAGCUGGCGGAAAAAGGUGGCGGCCGGGCUUGGUGAUGCAAGCAGCGGCUGAGGAGUCUUCACCUUGGUGGCGGCUGAUGAAAGAGAUACACUAGGGUUAGGUUUACCCGACGUCGCCUCUUGAAGAAGGAAGGAAAUGAGCACCGGGUCUAAAACCUGUGUUCUUUACAAACUUCAAUCCGAUUUUUACAAGUUUAGCUCCUAUUCCAUCAAAACUUCUCAAUAUAACUCCCAUAUUUACCAUUCAGC